This 489-nucleotide ribosomal RNA is filed under the name uncultured bacterium. RNAcentral's name for it is "partial 16S ribosomal RNA". It matches the Rfam family "Bacterial small subunit ribosomal RNA", at positions 30 to 506 of the family's 1533-position model. The record is from RNAcentral.
AUUGAGCGCUGGCGGCAGGCCUAACACAUGCAAGUCGAACGGUAACAGGAAGCAGCUUGCUGCUUCGCUGACGAGUGGCGGACGGGUGGGUAAUGUCUGGGAAGCUGCCUGAUGGAGGGGGAUAACUACUGGAAACGGUAGCUAAUACCGCAUAAUGUCGCAAGACCAAAGAGGGGGACCUUCGGGCCUCUUGCCAUCGGAUGUGCCCAGAUGGGAUUAGCUUGUUGGUGGGGUAACGGCUCACCAAGGCGACGAUCCCUAGCUGGUCUGAGAGGAUGACCAGCCACACUGGAACUGAGACACGGUCCAGACUCCUACGGGAGGCAGCAGUGGGGAAUAUUGCACAAUGGGCGCAAGCCUGAUGCAGCCAUGCCGCGUGUAUGAAGAAGGCCUUCGGGUUGUAAAGUACUUUCAGCGGGGAGGAAGGGAGUAAAGUUAAUACCUUUGCUCAUUGACGUUACCCGCAGAAGAAGCACCGGCUAACUCCGU